GAGUUGCAGUCUUGUCCACCCGCCGGCCUCACGCGGUCAGUUGUUUGGGGCCCAAAGAGGACUGCGAAGAGCAAGUUAAGGAAGCUAAGGCGUGGCCGCUCGAGCGCCGGCGGCUCCACGUGCGAUGUUCUUUGCACAACACAACAAAUUGCCAUCAUCAUCGUGUGUGGUGACCUGCUUCCACGGCGGUGGCGGAUCUUCCUGUACCGUCAUUCAUCAGUAGCAGGGAGAGCAAUAGCAGCCAGAUAUUGUUUGUGUGGGAGAAGCGACCCCCUCGAGCACUUCGAGCUGCGAUACUC
RNAcentral lists this small nucleolar RNA (299 nucleotides) under Scleropages formosus (Asian bonytongue). The record is from RNAcentral. Lineage: Eukaryota; Metazoa; Chordata; Actinopteri; Osteoglossiformes; Osteoglossidae.